UAUUUAGGUUUUGGAUCAAACAAGUCGAUCGAUUGUUGUCGUUGAUUCGGCGAAUUUAUGGUUUGGUAGAUUUUUUCUAGUUUGGCAACUUUGUUCGUGGUUCUUGUGUCAGACUGACAGCUGGCUGAGCUGAGAGACAGGUUAUGGAAAGUGGGGACGUCGCGAGAGCGCCGGAGACUCCACUGCCGUAACAAUAAUGUGGGCAAAUUAAAAGCCACGAUUUAUCGGCGACAUCAAGAGCCGAUGUCUCGAUUUAAACAAAUAACUUAACCGAGAUGCAACAUCACUGAAAUCCCAUCGCCGAAGGUCCAGUGGGUGGGUUUAGGUUUCAUCCGAGCGAUGCCCAACUAUCCCGGAUGAACCUAUGGGGUUUUUUUUCUUUAAGUUUUAACGUUUUAAUGUUUUAACGUUUUUGCAAGUUUAAUUUUCUAACGUUUUGCAAGUUUUAAUCUAAGAAGAAGUUUAUGAUUGGAUCAGACUAUUUCAACAAAUUUUGUGAAUGAAGAUUGCUACUGUUUUCUUCUGCGUUUGCAAGUUAUUUCAAGCUUCAUUUCGGCGGAGCUUGCCUUGGUUGUUUGCACGUCGAAGCUUCCCUUUGUGCGGCGCGCAUGUGGAUGUGCCGCGCCUCUCCUUUUGUCAACACACCGGAUAAGGCCCGGUGAAGGACUGCGAGGUUGACCGGUGGACGUGCAGCCCGCCAGCUGCGUAACAGUUGGCCCGCUGCGCCGCCAUCGUCCAGCACGCCUGGCCUGAGCCGGCCUCAACGCAUCACCUGUAUGGUAUUCCGGAACGCCUCAGGUAGGCCUGAUAGUCGGAGGUCCUCGAGUAAGUGAGGUGCCUACAAGGAGGACGGAAAGUUUUUAUACAUCAGUGCUAUCUUAUGGUAUGUUGCAGAGAGAUGUUUUACCUAACGGCCCACUUUUCUUUUAUUGAAGUCCAUUCUAUUGGAAUAAGCUAAAAAUUUUUGUUUCAGUGGCGCCCUUCUUGGUGAAAUUGUCGCUCUGUACAACCAUUUUAGAAUAUAAGUGGUGUUGGCAUAAACUUUAAGAAUAAAUUUUGUGAAAACAGUGUAUUUUUUUUUCUAUUAUUAAAAAGUGAUGGGAUUUUGUGUGAAUUGUUUGUGUUUUGUUUGCAUCUUAGGUUAAGUUGUGUUUGUCUUAGCAUAAGUAAGGUUCUAGGCCUCCUACAGAGACCUAACUUAAAUACUUUUUUUUUGUACAAUAAGUUUUAAACCCAAAUUUAAGACCAAAGUGGUCCAGGGCUUAUUGUCAUAUUUAGUAGCUACUACAUUUGUGUUUUCAUUAUUUAUUUAACCUUUUGUUUAAUUACAGGGUUAAAACCAUAUUUAGAACAUUUUUAA
Molecule: long non-coding RNA, 1360 nt
Organism: Pectinophora gossypiella (pink bollworm)
Lineage: Eukaryota; Metazoa; Arthropoda; Insecta; Lepidoptera; Gelechiidae
Exons: 3
Source: RefSeq, a predicted model, not a curated record